GGUGACGAAGCGACGCCGCGUGUGGGAUGAAGGCCUUCGGGUUGUAAACCACUGUCGGGAGUUAAGAAUUGUAGGAAUGCUAAUAGUAUUUCUACUUGACUAAGGCUCCGGAGGAAGCCACGGCUAACUCUGUGCCAGCAGCCGCGGUAAUACAGAGGCGGCAAGCGUUGUUCGGAAUUAUUGGGCGUAAAGAGCAUGUAGGCGGCUAUGUAAGUCGGUUGUGAAAGCCUUCCGCUUAACGGAAGAAUGGCGGUCGAAACUGCAUGGCUUGAGUGCGGGAGGGGAGAGUGGAACUUCUGGUGGGGCGGUGAAAUGCGUAGAUAUCAGAAGGAACGUCGGCGGCGAAAGCGACUCUCUAGACCGUAACUGACGCUGAGUGUGCGAAAGCUAGGGGAGCAAACGGGAUUAGAUACCCCGGUAGUCCUAGCCGUAAACGAUGGGCACUAAGUAGAGGGGUUU
This 459-nucleotide ribosomal RNA is filed under the name uncultured Planctomycetales bacterium. RNAcentral's name for it is "bacterial SSU rRNA". It matches the Rfam family "Bacterial small subunit ribosomal RNA", at positions 382 to 831 of the family's 1533-position model. The record is from RNAcentral. Lineage: Bacteria; Pseudomonadati; Planctomycetota; Planctomycetia; Planctomycetales.